AGCGCGCGCAGGCGGCCUUUUAAGUUGGAUGUGAAAGCCUAUGGCUCAACCAUAGAACUGCAUCCAAAACUAUCAGGCUAGAGUGUGGGAGAGGAAGAUGGAAUUAGUUGUGUAGGGGUAAAAUCCGUAGAGAUAACUAGGAAUACCAAAAGCGAAGGCAAUCUUCUGGAACAUUACUGACGCUGAGGCGCGAAAGCGUGGGGAGCAAACAGGAUUAGAUACCCUGGUAGUCCACGCCCUAAACGAUGAAUGUUAGUCGUCGGGUAGCUAGUCUAUUCGGUGAUGCAGCUAACGCAUUAAACAUUCCGCCUGGGGAGUACGGUCGCAAGAUUAAAACUCAAAGGAAUAGACGGGGACCCGCACAAGUGGUGGAGCAUGUGGUUUAAUUCGAAGAUACGCGAAGAACCUUACCUAGCCUUGACAUAUUUUAGAACACUUUAGAGAUAGAGUGGUGCCUUCGGGAGCUAAUAUACAGGUGCUGCACGGCUGUCGUCAGCUCGUGUCGUGAGAUGUUGGGUUAAGUCCCGCAACGAGCGCAACCCUCGUCACUAGUUACUAACGGUUCGGCCGAGGACUCUAGUGAGACUGCCUUCGCAAGGAGGAGGAAGGUGAGGACGACGUCAAGUCAUCAUGGCCCUUACGGCUAGGGCAACACACGUGCUACAAUGGCCAGGACAAUGAGAAGCGAUACCGCGAGGUGGAGCAAAUCUAUAAACCUGGUCUCAGUUCGGA
This 732-nucleotide ribosomal RNA is filed under the name uncultured bacterium. RNAcentral describes it as "bacterial SSU rRNA". It matches the Rfam family "Bacterial small subunit ribosomal RNA", at positions 564 to 1297 of the family's 1533-position model. The record is from RNAcentral.